UACGUAGGGGGCUAGCGUUGUCCGGAAUCAUUGGGCGUAAAGGGCGCGUAGGCGGCCAUGCGUGUCUUCCGUGAAAUCCCUCGGCUUAACUGAGGACGUGCGGAAGAAACUGCAAGGCUUGAGUCCGGGAGAGGGGGGUGGAAUUCCCAGUGUAGCGGUGAAAUGCGUAGAUAUUGGGAGGAACACCGGUGGCGAAGGCGGCCCCCUGGACCGGUACUGACGCUGAGGCGCGAAAGCGUGGGUAGCAAACGGG
Molecule: ribosomal RNA, 253 nt
Filed under: uncultured bacterium
Lineage: Bacteria
Description: partial 16S ribosomal RNA
Rfam family: Bacterial small subunit ribosomal RNA
Source: RNAcentral